AUUGAACGCUGGCGGAAUGCUUUACACAUGCAAGUCGAACGGCAGCACGGACUUCGGUCUGGUGGCGAGUGGCGAACGGGUGAGUAAUGCAUCGGAACGUGCCCAAUCGUGGGGGAUAACGUAGCGAAAGUUACGCUAAUACCGCAUACGAUCUAAGGAUGAAAGCGGGGGAUCGCAAGACCUCGCGCGAAUGGAGCGGCCGAUGUUAGAUUAGGUAGUUGGUGGGGUAAAGGCUCACCAAGCCGACGAUCUAUAGCUGGUCUGAGAGGAUGAUCAGCCACACUGGGACUGAGACACGGCCCAGACUCCUACGGGAGGCAGCAGUGGGGAAUUUUGGACAAUGGGCGCAAGCCUGAUCCAGCCAUUCCGCGUGCAGGAUGAAGGCCCUCGGGUUGUAAACUGCUUUUGUACAGAACGAAAGCUCUGGGUUAAUACCCUGGGGACAUGACGGUACUGUAAGAAUAAGCACCGGCUAACUACGUGCCAGCA
RNAcentral lists this ribosomal RNA (489 nucleotides) under uncultured bacterium. RNAcentral describes it as "bacterial SSU rRNA". It matches the Rfam family "Bacterial small subunit ribosomal RNA", at positions 30 to 513 of the family's 1533-position model. The record is from RNAcentral.